GAUGAACGCUGGCGGCGUGCUUAACACAUGCAAGUCGAACGGAAAGGCUCCUGCUUGCAGGGGUACUCGAGUGGCGAACGGGUGAGUAACACGUGGGUGAUCUGCCCUGCACUUCGGGAUAAGCCUGGGAAACUGGGUCUAAUACCGGAUAGGACCACAUUUUGGAUGGUGUGGUGGAAAGUUUUUCGGUGUGGGGUGAGCUCGCGGCCUAUCAGCUUGUUGGUGGGGUAAUGGCCUACCAAGGCGUCGACGGGUAGCCGGCCUGAGAGGGUGUACGGCCACAUUGGGACUGAGAUACGGCCCAGACUCCUACGGGAGGCAGCAGUGGGGAAUAUUGCACAAUGGGCGCAAGCCUGAUGCAGCGACGCCGCGUGGGGGAUGACGGCCUUCGGGUUGUAAACUCCUUUCGCUAGGGACGAAGCGUUUUUGUGACGGUACCUGGAGAAGAAGCACCGGCUAACUACGUG
This 467-nucleotide ribosomal RNA is filed under the name uncultured bacterium. Its description in RNAcentral is "partial 16S ribosomal RNA". It matches the Rfam family "Bacterial small subunit ribosomal RNA", at positions 28 to 507 of the family's 1533-position model. The record is from RNAcentral.